Hordeum vulgare subsp. vulgare (domesticated barley) is the source of this 122-nucleotide non-coding RNA. NCBI's taxonomy places the organism in Eukaryota, Viridiplantae, Streptophyta, Magnoliopsida, Poales, Poaceae. The record is from Rfam.
UCCCAAAAUUUUUGUCUUACAUUUGUCUAGAUAUGAAUGUAUCUAGUCACGCUUUAGUAUUUAGAUACAUCUAUUUCUAGACAAACGUAAGACAAGAAUUUUGGGACGGAGGGGAGUAUUUA